Molecule: long non-coding RNA, 1941 nt
Organism: Herpailurus yagouaroundi (jaguarundi)
Lineage: Eukaryota; Metazoa; Chordata; Mammalia; Carnivora; Felidae
Exons: 2
Source: RefSeq, a predicted model, not a curated record
GGGUGGGAGCGGAAGGCUCUCGUUGUCCGGGGAGGCCUGGGAAUUGGCCCCUGUGCCCACAGAGGCUGGGGCUGCGCCGCCCACCCGAUCUCGGGUGGCCACGGCCUGAGGAGCGGGCCCGUGGGUGAGGGGGGUGCCCCACCCGGGAGUGGCUGGCUAUCCCAGGGGCACCAGGAGAUAGGGUAGGGGCACAAGGAGUUUUGGAAUUAGAAUUAGCUGGGAACAAAGGGUGGGAUCCACCUUGAAGGGCUUUGUGCUUUCCACGACUGGGGUAGGGAGCUGCCCCGGGGCUGGGGGCUGGAGGUUUGGAGGGUCCCCAGGACUAGGGAGGGGCAAUCUGAGCCUCCUACCCCUACGCAGGGCAGCGCGGGGCGGGGGGGGGGGGUGGGCAGCUUUCCCUGUUGCAAGACUGCACAUUAGUGUGCUGUAUUUGACAGAGGGCUUCGGCCGGCUCCAUUUUGACCUCACCCUUGCCAGUUGGCCUCUCCCUUCCAGCUGGUCUGUUGGCAAAGCACCCCCAGAUGGGAACCGAGACUACCCCCUCCAGCAGAGGGACUGCCCCCGAGCCAGCAAGAUCCCGCCCCGGAACACACAGUCCCUUUGACCUUCACUGCCCACCCGCACGCACCCGCCUCCCUCCGCCCCACGUUUUUGUUCUACAAACCUGGAAGUAUUCUCUGUCUUCCCGGUGUUGGCCUCACCGAACUAAGUCCCUUUCCUGUUUCACUACCCCUAGUUUCUCUGUCUUUGGAGUUUGGAGGGGCUGAACUUGGUGUGUUUGGGGCCCUCGAACCGGGUGCCUCUGCGCCCCGGCGCCCUGCCUACGCGUUGUUACAAUAACCAACCGGUUAUUAACCCAAGUCCGUAGUCAGAACUCAGAUUUCCUCAGCUUGCCUCUAAUGUCCUUGCUCUGCCCUGGGACCACACUGCAUUUGUUGUCACAUCCCCUCUUAGACUUUCUUCAUGUUUAACCGCCUGGACAGUUUGGUUUGUCUGGUGUUUUUGUCACGAGUAGCCCGGGUGGUGGUUAUAGAGACGAGGAGUUGCCAGGAUGACUCACCGCUGUAUGUCGACCUCGGUCAUCGAGGUCAUCGGGCUGGGGUCGUGCCUGUACUUCAGGUGUCUCCACUUUAAAGUGAACCCCGCCCCCGCCCCGUCCAAUCCCCUCAUUUCCUAGUCACUUUCAUCAGCCCCUUUCCCCCAAUCCCGUUCAGCAAGGUGGUUGCAUACACCUGUAAUCCACCCAGAUUCUUCGGUGGGUCUGCGUUCCUUCCUGGGAUCCCCCACUUUCCCGAAGGAUUAUUUUAAAAUGUGUGCAUGUGAAGCUUCACUCUUUCCGCUGUCCACUUCUCUGGGUCUUGACUUCUCCAGGGUGUCCGGCCUCCCAGCCCUAAACAUCUAGGCUUCCCCCAGCCACCCGGGACUCCCCUGUCUCAAACCCUUGGCAACCCCUGACGUGGUCCCCGUCUCUACCUUUUUUGCCUCUUCUGGAAUGUCACAUAAAGAGAAUCUUACAGUAUGUUGCUGUUUUCAGGCGGACUUGUUUCACCGAGCAGUCACUUUAUCCAUUCACCUACCUGAGGACAUCAGGGUGGCUUCCAGUGUUGGCGUGAUGAUGAACAAAGCUGCUCUAAACAUUUCCGUGCUGCUGUUUGUGUAGACGUUUGGUAUUUCACAUUGAGGCCUGUGGUCAACCCUGAGCUAAUUUUUCUCUAAGGGGUCCCCUGAAAGGAUUUUGAAAAGCUCUUUAUCCCCACCACUCAACACACGUGUGCAUCUUGAAGUUGACGUCUACGAUAUUUCAAUGGAUGUUCAAACAGUUGCAAAGGGUGUGCUUUCUGGUGUCUUAUAAAUACUGUUAAAAAAAAAAACAAACCCACAACAACCGUGAUACCACUUUUGACAUGAGGCCAAUGGCAUUAAAAUCACCCGGUGAACUGA